Molecule: ribosomal RNA, 207 nt
Filed under: uncultured bacterium
Lineage: Bacteria
Description: partial 16S ribosomal RNA
Rfam family: Bacterial small subunit ribosomal RNA
Source: RNAcentral
CGCGUAGGUGGUUUGAUAAGCGAGAUGUGAAAGCCCCGGGCUUAACCUGGGAACGGCAUUUCGAACUGUCAGGCUAGAGUGUGGUAGAGGGUAGUGGAAUUUCCUGUGUAGCGGUGAAAUGCGUAGAUAUAGGAAGGAACACCAGUGGCGAAGGCGGCUACCUGGACCAACACUGACACUGAGGUGCGAAAGCGUGGGGAGCAAACA